UGGCUCAGAACGAACGCUGGCGGCAUGCCUUACACAUGCAAGUCGAACGGCAGCACGGGGGCAACCCUGGUGGCGAGUGGCGAACGGGUGAGUAAUACAUCGGAACGUGCCCCGUAGCGGGGGAUAACCAGUCGAAAGACUGGCUAAUACCGCAUACGCUCUACGGAGGAAAGCAGGGGAUCGCAAGACCUUGCACUAUGGGAGCGGCCGAUGCCCGAUUAGCUAGUUGGUGAGGUAAAGGCUCACCAAGGCAACGAUCGGUAGCUGGUCUGAGAGGACGACCAGCCACACUGGGACUGAGACACGGGCCAGACUCCUACGGGAGGCAGCAGUGGGAGCUUU
Molecule: ribosomal RNA, 342 nt
Filed under: uncultured beta proteobacterium
Lineage: Bacteria; Pseudomonadati; Pseudomonadota; Betaproteobacteria
Description: bacterial SSU rRNA
Rfam family: Bacterial small subunit ribosomal RNA
Source: RNAcentral